Molecule: long non-coding RNA, 666 nt
Filed under: Chinchilla lanigera (long-tailed chinchilla)
Lineage: Eukaryota; Metazoa; Chordata; Mammalia; Rodentia; Chinchillidae
Description: lncRNA (ENSCLAG00000025679.1)
Source: RNAcentral
GUUUACCACAUCAGCUACUACUUUCUGGGCAUGUAGUAGAGUAAUUUAUGCAGUAUUUAAUUUAAUCUCUGAGUCAAUACUCUGAGGGGGAUUUUUUUUUCUCUCAUAAAGCAGGAAACCUAGCUUCUGAGAGGUGGCUUACACGGAUAGUAAAUGCAGGCGGAGGCAGCAUCAGGACUGUAUCGCGUCUUCAGAGCAUAGGCUUUCUGGCUUUCCUGGACUUGCAGUGACUCAGCGUUCACACGGUGGAGACAAUAUUUGCAAAACCCUGAUGACCUUGUUUAAAGAUGAAAAGGGAUAUUGGAAUGUGUUCUGGAAGGUUGCUAGCGAUUUGUAUGAUGGCAGAAAAGCCCCACACUUUCUCAGCUUCUGGAAGACGUGUUAGCAGGAAAGGAACUAUCUGCACCAGCAUAUCCAUGGCAAGAGCUGUUCAUACCCUCGGACUCUUACUAAGUGAGGGCUGAUCUGCUGAGCAUUUGCCUUGGGAUUGAACGUUGGAUUGUGUUUCUCAUGACAUUUACCAGGUUAAAUCUGUAGCUCAUUUUUAUUGCAUUUUAGAAUAAACCCAAACUUUUAUCAACAAAGUUUUAUAAGUUUAGAAAGAAUUUUCAUUUUUGCAAGAAAAAUAUUAGCAUUCUACCUUAGAGUGUUACUGUGAGGUUAAAU